Molecule: long non-coding RNA, 553 nt
Filed under: Vigna radiata
Lineage: Eukaryota; Viridiplantae; Streptophyta; Magnoliopsida; Fabales; Fabaceae
Description: long non-coding RNA (VRAD_LNC016284)
Source: RNAcentral
AUGGUGGUGAGAGAUGAGUGUUUGAAAAGUCAAAAUAAAAUUAAAGAGUGUGUGAGAUAGAAGUCUAGUGCAACGUAGGUGUAGUGAGAGAGAGUGAAUAGAAGAAAAAAAAAUAAAAGAGUGGUGUGUGAGAUGGUGUGGGGCCGUGCCAUUUAAUGUAGAAAAGAAAGAAGGAAAGAAAAAAGUAGGAUAGGUGUGUGCAUAGGAGUGUGCUACGUGAAGUGAAAUAAAGUGGGAAGUGGAGUCAUGAUUUUGUAAGAAAAGAAAAGUGAGGUGAGUUUUGGUUUAAUUGAAAAAAAAAAUGAAUAAAAGCAAAAGAGAGAAGGGAGAGAAAGUUUGGUUACGUAAAAGUAGGAAAAAGGGAGAGAGAAAGAGAGGUUUUGUGAGAAACGUUUAUUUCAAGUGGGGUCCACUUGGUGAGAGAAAAAAAGGGUAUUCUUAAAGUUAAAAAUAGUUGUGGGGACCACUUGAGUUGGUAAAUUUAAGAGAGGGGGUGUAUUUAAGAUAAAAAGGGGUACAUGCAUGUGACACCCGGGCACUCACGAGGGCGGGG